CCUACGGGUGGCUGCAGUGGGGAAUAUUGCACAAUGGGGGAAACCCUGAUGCAGCGACGCCGCGUGAGUGAAGAAGUAUUUCGGUACGUAAAGCUCUAUCAGCAGGGAAGAAAAUGACGGUACUUGACUAAGAAGCCCCUGCUAACUACGUGCCAGCAGCCGCGGUAAUACGUAGGGGGCAAGCGUUAUCCGGAUUUACUGGGUGUAAAGGGAGCGUAGACGGUAGGGCAAGUCUGGAGUGAAAUCCCAUGGGUUAACCAUGGAACUGCUUUGGAAACUGGGCAGCUAGAGUGCGGGAGAGGUAAGCGGAAUUCCUGGUGUAGCGGUGAAAUGCGUAGAGAUUAGGAAGAACACCAGUGGCGAAGGCAGCUUACUGGACUGUAACUGACGUUGAGGCACGAAAGCGUGGGGAGCAAACAGGAUUAGAUACCCGUGUAGUC
This 440-nucleotide ribosomal RNA is filed under the name uncultured bacterium. Its description in RNAcentral is "partial 16S ribosomal RNA". It matches the Rfam family "Bacterial small subunit ribosomal RNA", at positions 338 to 795 of the family's 1533-position model. The record is from RNAcentral.